Molecule: long non-coding RNA, 204 nt
Filed under: Elaeis guineensis (African oil palm)
Lineage: Eukaryota; Viridiplantae; Streptophyta; Magnoliopsida; Arecales; Arecaceae
Description: long non-coding RNA (EGUI_LNC075931)
Source: RNAcentral
UCCCCCUGACGUCCGCGCACAACCAUCCUUGGAUAUGUCGGCAUUUAAUGCGCGCAUGCCGGCCUUGCCGGAACACUUAGGACGGUGGUUGUCAUGGAGCAUUCGGUGAUGGCGCAUAUCUCUGGCGCCAUUGCUGCCUCCGGGCUAACUCCGGUUCUUCUUGAAACAGGUCUUCAUCGCCGCUGCCGUGGCCCUUACUGCCCC